GAGGUUGUAGCUCAGCGGUAGAGCGCUUUCCUAGCAAGUGUGAGGCUCUGAGUUCAAUCCUCAGCACCACA
This is a non-coding RNA of Ictidomys tridecemlineatus (thirteen-lined ground squirrel), 71 nucleotides long. The record is from Rfam. Lineage: Eukaryota; Metazoa; Chordata; Mammalia; Rodentia; Sciuridae.